CCCUUCUCAAUCGCAUCUGAUCCUACUCUGAGAUCACCUACAGAAGAUUCCUUCAUAUUUCCACCGACUACCUCCAAAUAUGGCCCUUCUCCAUUUGGCAAUUUGUCUUCCACACUUGAAUCCUUCAUUUGACUAUUAUCAAUCACCUUGUCAUCAGAGAAGUCUGAUCCAUCUUUUGAGGCCUGCUGAGCAAGUUCUUGAGAAUUGGA
Molecule: unclassified non-coding RNA, 209 nt
Filed under: Hevea brasiliensis (rubber tree)
Lineage: Eukaryota; Viridiplantae; Streptophyta; Magnoliopsida; Malpighiales; Euphorbiaceae
Source: RNAcentral